This is a non-coding RNA of Manis javanica (Malayan pangolin), 1122 nucleotides long. The record is from RefSeq and is a predicted model, not a curated record. NCBI's taxonomy places the organism in Eukaryota, Metazoa, Chordata, Mammalia, Pholidota, Manidae.
GGAGGCGGAGGCGGAGGCGGAGGCAGAGAUGGACUUGCCAGAUGCAGAGGAGACUCUAGCACUUGACCUGCCACGUUUACCUAUUGGACAAAUGUGUACUCGUUACACCCAAGGCUCUGUUCCAGAAACUAGACAAGCGUAUAUGAAGGCAAGGAGCCGACCUCAGAGAACUUAGUGGAGAAGACAGAUGAAAAUAUGACCAUGGUCCCAAGCUUUGGGAAAAACUUGUGGAGACUCAAAUUUCUGGUCCAGGAAUCCUCAGGAGUAGAAGCAGAGCGUUGCCAUCUGCACACAGGAGAGGCAAAGCCAAGCAGAUGAGAAACAAGACAACUGAGAAGCACACACAUUUCAGUAAGAAAUAGAAUUGCCUUUCUGGGACCCAGAAGCCAAGGCCUGUUUACUGCCCAAAACAGAUAAUGGAUGGGCCGCUGUGUGAUUCUUCCUGAUAAGUGGUCAAAGGAGAUGAACAGCAUCACACCAGGAAAUGGAGAUAGUAAAUCACAGUGUGGAAACAUGCGCGAUCUCGGCAGCUAUGAAAUAAAAUUUAUAUUCAAGCAACUUUCAGGUCCCAUUACAUGCCUAUUAAAGCUGCAAAAAUAAAUAUGAUAAAACCCAAGAUUGGCAGUCGGUAGAAGCACAUCCUUGAGCAUUGCUUUCUGGGCCAAUUUACAUAAGCAAGCAGGCAGCAUGAAUGAGAGCUCUGCCAUUUCUAUACUCUCUGACCCAGGAAUUUUCUCUUUGGUAACAAACGCCAUGGUAUUAGCCCCAAAGAAAGAAAAACAUGUCUAGAGCAGCAUUACCUGUAAUAACUAAAACUCACCCACAACCCAAAGGCCGAAGAAGAGGGGGCUGACCAAGCAGAGACAUGUGUUAACACAGUAGAAUAACACGAUGGCGUUUCAAAUGAUGAAUAUGGGGGCUUGGGAGGUUGCGGAAACGUUUCUAUGAAAUAUGCAUGGUCAUUAUUAGUUGUGCAUAUCAAAUGUCUUCCUGGGUAUUGAUAAAGAAGAGACUUUGGAUGGAAGAGGAUUCACUUAGAAUUUAAUGUUCAUUAAGAUUUUAUGAUAAGUUGGAUACCAAUUUUAGUCAUUCACUCAACAUUCAUUGAAUAUUGACCACAUG